RNAcentral lists this ribosomal RNA (445 nucleotides) under uncultured Aminicenantes bacterium. Its description in RNAcentral is "bacterial SSU rRNA". It matches the Rfam family "Bacterial small subunit ribosomal RNA", at positions 912 to 1329 of the family's 1533-position model. The record is from RNAcentral. Lineage: Bacteria; Candidatus Aminicenantota.
CGCGCGGCGGGCGGGGGGCGGGGGCACGGGGGGGCACAAGCGGUGGAGCAUGUGGUUUAAUUCGACGCAACGCGAAGAACCUUACCUGGGCUUGAACUGCAGGUUGUAAGGACCCGAAAGGGCGACGAUCCUGGUUUCCAGGAAGCCUGUAGAGGUGCUGCAUGGCUGUCGUCAGCUCGUGUCGUGAGAUGUUGGGUUAAGUCCCGCAACGAGCGCAACCCUUGCCUUUAGUUGCCAGCGAGUCAUGUCGGGCACUCUAAGGGGACUGCCUCGGAUAACGAGGAGGAAGGUGGGGAUGACGUCAAGUCAGCAUGGCCUUUAUGUCCAGGGCUACACACGUGCUACAAUGGACGGUACAAAGGGCAGCAAGACCGCGAGGUGGAGCUAAUCCUAAAAACCGUUCUCAGUUCGGAUUGCAGGCUGCAAUUCGCCUGCAUGAAGUCGG